GCCAAGUUAGUUUAGUGGUAAAACAACGCAAUGGUAAUGCGUCGCCGCGAGUUCGAUUCUCGCACUCGGCACCA
This 74-nucleotide transfer RNA is filed under the name Turicibacter sp. RNAcentral describes it as "tRNA-Thr". It matches the Rfam family "tRNA". From Rfam's summary of the family: Transfer RNA (tRNA) molecules are approximately 80 nucleotides in length. Their secondary structure includes four short double-helical elements and three loops (D, anti-codon, and T loops). The record is from RNAcentral. Lineage: Bacteria; Bacillati; Bacillota; Erysipelotrichia; Erysipelotrichales; Turicibacteraceae.